RNAcentral lists this ribosomal RNA (460 nucleotides) under uncultured Sphingobacteriales bacterium. Its description in RNAcentral is "bacterial SSU rRNA". It matches the Rfam family "Bacterial small subunit ribosomal RNA", at positions 338 to 795 of the family's 1533-position model. Lineage: Bacteria; Pseudomonadati; Bacteroidota; Sphingobacteriia; Sphingobacteriales. The record is from RNAcentral.
CCUACGGGCGGCUGCAGUAAGGAAUAUUGGACAAUGGGCGCAAGCCUGAUCCAGCCAUGCCGCGUGAAGGAUGAAGGCCCUAUGGGUUGUAAACUUCUUUUAUACGGGACAAAACCCCUCUACGUGUAGAGGGUUGAUGGUACUGUAAGAAUAAGCAUCGGCUAACUUCGUGCCAGCAGCCGCGGUAAUACGAAGGAUGCAAGCGUUAUCCGGAAUUAUUGGGUUUAAAGGGUGCGUAGGCGGACCUAUAAGUCAGUGGUGAAAGCCCCAAGCUCAACUUGGGAACUGCCAUUGAUACUGUUGGUCUUGAGUACAGUUGAGGUAGGCGGAAUGUGUCAUGUAGCGGUGAAAUGCUUAGAUAUGACACAGAACACCGAUUGCGAAGGCAGCUUGCUAAGCUGUAACUGACGCUGAUGCACGAAAGCGUGGGUAGCAAACAGGAUUAGAUACCCCAGUAGUC